UACGUAGGGGGCGAGCGUUGUCCGGAAUCAUUGGGCGUAAAGAGCGCGUAGGCGGCCCGACAAGUCCGCUGUGAAAGUCAGGGGCUCAACCCUUGAAUGCCGGUGGAUACUGUCGGGCUAGAGUCCGGAAGAGGCGAGUGGAAUUCCUGGUGUAGCGGUGAAAUGCGCAGAUAUCAGGAAGAACACCAAUGGCGAAGGCAGCUCUCUGGGACGGUACUGACGCUGAGACGCGAAAGCGUGGGGAGCGAACAGG
This 253-nucleotide ribosomal RNA is filed under the name uncultured bacterium. RNAcentral describes it as "partial 16S ribosomal RNA". It matches the Rfam family "Bacterial small subunit ribosomal RNA", at positions 524 to 776 of the family's 1533-position model. The record is from RNAcentral.